This 253-nucleotide ribosomal RNA is filed under the name uncultured bacterium. RNAcentral's name for it is "partial 16S ribosomal RNA". It matches the Rfam family "Bacterial small subunit ribosomal RNA", at positions 524 to 776 of the family's 1533-position model. The record is from RNAcentral.
UACGGAGGAUGCAAGCGUUAUCCGGAAUGAUUGGGCGUAAAGCGUCCGCAGGUGGCGAUGUAAGUCUGCUGUUAAAGAGUCUAGCUCAACUAGAUAAGAGCAGUGGAAACUACACGGCUAGAGUACGUUCGGGGCAGAGGGAAUUCCUGGUGUAGCGGUGAAAUGCGUAGAGAUCAGGAAGAACACCGGUGGCGAAGGCGCUCUGCUAGGCCGUAACUGACACUGAGGGACGAAAGCUAGGGGAGCGAAUGGG